This 813-nucleotide ribosomal RNA is filed under the name Escherichia coli. Its description in RNAcentral is "bacterial SSU rRNA". It matches the Rfam family "Bacterial small subunit ribosomal RNA", at positions 1 to 807 of the family's 1533-position model. The record is from RNAcentral. Lineage: Bacteria; Pseudomonadati; Pseudomonadota; Gammaproteobacteria; Enterobacterales; Enterobacteriaceae.
UUUUUUGAGAGUUUGAUACUAGCUCAGGAUGAACGCUCGCUGUGUGCCUAAUACAUGCAUGUUGAACGGGAUGUAGCAAUACAUUCAGUAGCGAAUGGGUGAGUAACACGUACCUAACCUACCUUUAAGACUGGGAUAACUAUUGGAAACAAUAGCUAAUACCGGAUAUAGUUAUUUAUCGCAUGAUGAGUAAUAGAAAGGAGCUUCACAGCUUCACUUAAAAAUGGGGGUGCGGAACAUUAGUUAGUUGGUAGGGUAAUGGCCUACCAAGACGAUGAUGUUUAGCCGGGCCGAGAGGCUGUACGGCCACACUGGGACUGAGAUACGGCCCAGACUCCUACGGGAGGCAGCAGUAAGGAAUUUUCCACAAUGAGCGAAAGCUUGAUGGAGCGACACAGCGUGCAGGAUGAAGUUCUUCGGAAUGUAAACUGCUGUUAUAAGGGAAGAAAAAAUAGAAUAGGAAAUGAUUUUAUCUUGACGGUACCUUAUUAGAAAGCGACGGCAAACUAUGUGCCAGCAGCCGCGGUAAUACAUAGGUCGCAAGCGUUAUCCGGAAUUAUUGGGCGUAAAGCGUCCGUAGGUUUUUUGCUAAGUCUGGAGUUAAAUGCUGAAGCUCAACUUCAGUCCGCUUUGGAUACUGGCAAAAUAGAAUUAUAAAGAGGUUAGCGGAAUUCCUAGUGAAGCGGUGGAAUGCGUAGAUAUUAGGAAGAACACCAAUAGGCGAAGGCAGCUAACUGGUUAUAUAUUGACACUAAGGGACGAAAGCGUGGGGAGCAAACAGGAUUAGAUACCCUGGUAGUCCACGCCGUAAAC